UAAGCCUUGUGGGGUUCCGAUCGGCAUUUCGAGUAAUGAGUGCCUAUCGAGACGACGCGGUUGUUGUCAUGGGCCCGAUGGGAGUUUCUGGUCGUGGCAGUAUUUUUAUGAGAAACUCAACAGAGACUUGUAAAUAAUUUAGGACUCUAGGUUAGCAACUUAAUCUAUUAAACUAAGUUAAGAGAGAGAAACAAUAAUCAGAUAAGUAUUGAGGAAUAUCAUAAUCUUAGGUCUAGUAGUCAUUCACAUUUAAUAAAGUAAAUUUCCAUAGAUUAGUUUUAGGUUUCGUUAUUAGAUUCAAAUCCUUCUUUUUAAUUGUUUAAAUAAAAUUAGGGUGUGAUAAUUUUAGUAAUUAACAGUAAAAAUUAAUUCAAUUCUCUGUGGGAUCAAC
RNAcentral lists this long non-coding RNA (391 nucleotides) under Theobroma cacao (cacao). RNAcentral describes it as "long non-coding RNA (TCAC_LNC005231)". The record is from RNAcentral. Lineage: Eukaryota; Viridiplantae; Streptophyta; Magnoliopsida; Malvales; Malvaceae.